UGAUGAAUGGCUUAAUGGUUACGUUCUCUGCUUCCAAACCUGAAGUCCCGGGUUCGAGUCACGGUUGGCUUU
This 72-nucleotide transfer RNA is filed under the name Helianthus annuus (common sunflower). Its description in RNAcentral is "tRNA HanXRQr2_Chr13g0598141". Lineage: Eukaryota; Viridiplantae; Streptophyta; Magnoliopsida; Asterales; Asteraceae. The record is from RNAcentral.